This 22436-nucleotide long non-coding RNA is filed under the name Malus domestica (apple). RNAcentral's name for it is "long non-coding RNA (MDOM_LNC004115)". Lineage: Eukaryota; Viridiplantae; Streptophyta; Magnoliopsida; Rosales; Rosaceae. The record is from RNAcentral.
UUUUUUUUUUUUUUUUUUUUUUAAGUGUGUAUAAUGCAAAUUUAUGUAAAAUUUCCAGAAAAUAAAAUAAAAUAAAAACAACUUUAUUUAAUUAAUGCUUAUUUAUAUUAUAUUUAUUAUAUUAUAUUUAUAUAUAUAUAUAUUUUUUUAAUUUUAUUUAUUUAUUUAUUUUCUUUAAUCAUGAUGCCAGCUGCACCUCUCUUUUUUCACGUGGUGCCAUCACCACUUUGUUCCAUCAUUCCCUUUUUUAUAUGGUGCCAGACGCCGCACCAUGCAUUUUUUUUUUUUUAAUCAUGGUGCAGUGUUCCACCAUAUAUAUUUUUUUAUUAUUAUUUUUUUUGUAUAAAUUUGGAUGACGGGAUGGGGAAUUUGCAGGGAGCGGAGCAAGGAGGCCGAGAAGAUGGUGCUUCGAGACCGGCUAGUCGUUUGACGGCGGUCUUUGAAGUUGUUUUGGCAGCUGCGAGGCAAGAGACGGAGGAGGAGAGGCUGUACGUGUUGCUGAAGCUGAUGGGCAGAAGGAGAAGGUGAGCACAACCACCGAUCACAGCCAACAGACUCCACGCCGCCGUCGUCCUCGUCCUUGUCUUUCCUCUCUGCCCAAAGAGAGCGUCAUCGACCUCCAAUCAUCGCAACAACCAUUCUCGAGCUCUUCGACUCCAGCUGGCAUCUCCACCUUCACCGCCGCAUCGGCGCCAGUGACAGCGGCAUCACCUUUCCCGUCCAUCUCAGACCUUCACCGUACUCACAUACCAGAAGUGCAUUUGCUCAAUGAGAUCGUAUGUACUCGAAGUCUUGUCCCCGCGACACAACUGCAGCUCAGCUCACACUCUUCAACUGCAGCAGCAAUCGGCACUAGAUGAGGCGGCUCGAAGAUGCUACUCCAACGAAUCCAAGCUAUGCAUCGAGGAAUUUGUCGAGAUGAUGCAGCAGCAGGUUAACAGUGGUGAUGUUGCAUGUUCUUGCCACUUUCCACAACCGUGAGUCCGCGAAAGACAUCGAGGGAACCGAGGCGUUGCUGCUUUGCCGUGACUUCGAGGCGUCGAUGGCGAGUUGAGGAAGAAGACUGUUUGCUGCUGCUUGUGGCUGAGAGAGAGACAUGCGUUGGUGACUUGGGUGAGGACUAAAGUCAUUCCUUGGAACCAAAUGGUUCGGCUGAAACUGUGAAGAACCACCUGGUGCGGUAGUUCCUGCAUUUAAAGAUGAAUCAUACAGUGGUCGUGGAGGUGGCGGGGGUUUAGCGCGGUGUCUCCGUUUUUCCAGUACGGCGUGCAUAUUCACAUAACUGAUAUUUGGGGUUUCAUCAGCAGUGUUAAUCGGUUUUCAGUACUGCCAUCCAUCUCAAUUGUUGCUCCAUUCCAAGUAAAAACAGCAAAUUUGAGCCUGGGAGGGAAGAGAAUGUGAGACCGGCAGCGGUCAUGAAUCCGAGAGCCUUAUCAACCCUGGAAGCUAGCUCCCGAUAUCUAUCACCUUGCUCGCUGUGCUCCGUGAAAUCCAAGUUCCACUGUGUGACCCUCUGCAUAACUGCAUAACCUCCAGUAGUGAAAGCCCUGAGAAGGUUGAGAGUAGCAGCAGAUUGACAAUAGGCUCUAAUCAGUCUCUGGGGGUCCGGAGUCCUCGACUGUAAAUCGAAGGCGUCUCCGUUCACAUUAUCCCCUCUGUAACUAGGCAGCUUCACACCAUUCUUCUCCUCAAAAGAAUCCGAUUUGGGUUUCACAAACUGACCCGCCAUUCUUCCCACCUUGACGACGGGCAUUUGGCCUCCGAUCAUCAAAACGAUGCCCAUUUGGAGGAGAAUUCUGAAGGUGUCACGAAUGUUGUUGGCAUUGAACUCCUUGAAGCUCUCAGCGCAGUCCCCACCUUGAAGAAGAAACGCGUUUCCCAUGGCGGCCUCUCCGAUACGCUCCUCCAGGUUCCUCGCUUCACCGGCGAACACAAUAGGUGGGAACGAAUCGAGGGUCUGAAGCACCGACUGGAGAUUUUCCUGAUUUGGGUACUCCGGCAAUUGCAGCGCCUUCUUAGAUUUUCAUGUCUCCAAGCUCCAUUUCGCCGGAACUGCAUUGUGAUUCGUCGCCAAAGAAGAAGAAGAAGAAGCCGUCUGAACAGCCUGCUGCUUCGGCGGCUUAUCGGAGACAACUGGGUUCUUGGCUGGCUCGGCGGCGUGGACUGCGACGAUUGGGCGGACGAACUUGAUGGGCAGAGCGGGUUGGUGAGUUCUGGAAGAGGGUAAGAGAGACUGAUCUUGAACGAAGCCGGAUUUGGUGGGAAUCAGAGCGCUGCUCUUGUCUGGUUCGACUCGGACAGGGAUGGUGCAAGCACAAUUUUUGAAGAAAGCGGAGAGCAUUUCGAUUGGGGAAGAAGGUUUGCUUGGUUUUUCACUUCCACCACCACCAGCUAGCUCUCCGAGGGGGUUCGAAGGUUCCAGAGAGAACUAGGCCUGGGCUGAGGUUGAAGGCUAAAACCUUUUGCAAGCUUUUGAGAUGAGACUUCGAGAAUUGGGCCGGAGCCUGGAUUUUGGGCUUUGAUAACCGUGUCUGGGCCUAGGCCUGGAGCUUGGUGUUGGACCGAGACAUACAUAGAUAUAUAUAUGUUUCCUCUUUUUUUUUUUUUAAAUAACAUAUGUAUAUAUUUUUUUGUAAAAUACAUAAACAUAUGUAUUCCUUUUUUUUUUCUCUUUUUUUUUCUGAAGAAACUGUACAAAGAAAAUUGCAAUAUAUAUAUAUAUAUAUAUAUAUAUAUAUUUUAAACAAAAUAAAUUUGUAAUAAAAAAGAACUUUAAUUAAACCUUUUUUUUUUAUGUGACGUGACUGAACUCGAAAAUUGAACAUUCGAGCUGCCUACGUACCCCUCCAAAGAAGAGAUCAAGUCAUAACGUAGUUCAAAUACAUACAUAUUUUUGGUAUUUUCUUUUUGUGCCGUUUGCAGUUUUAACUCAUGCAGGCAAGGAGCGUUGGUGUCGUUUGCAGUUUCAACUCGUGCAAGCAAAGAGCAUUUGGUGCCGUGUUGCAGUUUCAGCUCGUGCAGGCAAGGAGCGUUGGUGUUGCCUUUUAUGCUCGUGCAGACCAGGAGCGUUGUGCCAUGCAAUUUAGGCUCGUGUACGCGAGGAGCCUUGGGUCUUGCAGUUUAGGCUCUUACAGACAAUGAGCUUUUGUGUUGCCUUUUAUGCUCGUGCAGACCAGGAGCUUAGUGCCAUGCAGUUUAGGCUCGUGCAGGCGAGAAGCGUUGUGGCAUGCAAUUUAGGCUCGUGUAGGCGAGGAGCCUUGGGUCUUGCAGUUUAGGCUCUUACAGACAAUGAGCUUUUGUGUUGCCUUUUAUGCUCGUGCAGACCAGGAGCUUAGUGCCAUGCAGUUUAGGCUCGUGCAGGCGAGGAGCUUUGUGCCAUGCAGUUUAGACUCAUGCGGGCAAGGAGAAUUUGUGAAUUUUGUCAAGCAAUCCGGGAGAGGCGUUCCUCACAAUCUUUAUAGCAAGGAGCUUUGACCGCGUGAUUGAAUAAGUCUUCGGGAAAGAAAUCGCGCAUUGUGAUGGCAACAGACGAUCUUUGUGUCGUAAUUUCAUCAUCCUCAACACUUUCACGUUGCUUUGAAGGUUGACAAGAGCUGCUUUGCCCCCUUUCCGAUUGGCGGACUUGUGGAGGAGACGUAUGCUUCUUGUGCAAUUUCUUAGGAGUGACUUGAGUCCAUCCUUCAACUUUGCUUGUCUUGGAGGAUGCCCCCAGCGGUUGAGGUGAAAACUUUGAGUCGGAAGAGCCAGAAGUGAAGGUGGUAUAGUUUGACUUCACCACAUCAUCAAGAUCUAGCUCGAUGAUUCCUUUCUGAGCCAGCUUCAUGAUGAGAUCUUUCAGCACGAAACAUUUUUCUGUCGGAUGACUGAUGAAGCGGUGGAAUUUACAGUACCUUGGACUGUCAGUGCGAUUCAUCUCUUCUGGCCGUUUGCACUCAGGCAAACCAAUCACCUUCUUUUCCAGCAAGUCUUCUAACAUGGCAACCACAUCAGAGUCGGGAAAUGGAUAAGUCCUCUCCUCAAGCUCCUUCAAAGUGCGUCUACGCAUCUCUUGAUCACGAAAAGCUUCGGUUUGAAUCGCCUUGCCUCGUGUAGGGAUUUUGACGGGAGCUGUGUUGAUCGUCAUUGCUUCCUUGGUGGGUUUCCACGUAGUCUUCUCCAACUUUGGCCCAAUAACUUUGUCGUUCUUGUAGUCGGCGAUCGGUUCUUUCUUCCCAUGAUGGGCGAUGCUCAACUCCAUGUCAUGGGCGCGAGUGGCCAAUUCCUCGAAGGUCCGUGGUUUAAUGCCUUGAAGGAUGUAUUGCAAACCCCAUUGCAUACCUUGGAUGCACAUCUCGAUUGAAGAGGUCUCCGAGAGCCUGUCUUUACAGUCGAGGCUUAGAGUGCGCCAUCUGUUGAUGUAGUCAAUGACUGGCUCGUCCUUCCACUGCUUUGUGCUCGUUAGCUCUAGCAUGCUCACAGUGCGGCGGGUGCUAUAGAAGCGGUUGAGGAAUUCCCGCUCUAAUUGUUCCCAGCUAUUGAUGGACUCAGGCUCUAGGUCCGUGUACCACUCAAAGGCAUUUCCUUUCAGCGAGCGCACAAACUGCUUGGCGAGGUAGUCUCCCUCCGUCCCUGCGUUGUUGCAAGUUUCGACGAAAUGUGCAACGUGCUGCUUUGGGUUUCCUUUUCCAUCAAACUGCAUGAACUUUGGUGGUUGAUAACCCUUUGGCAUCCUUAGGGCAUCAAUCUUCUUGGAAUAGGGCUUCGAGUAGAACAAGGAGGUAUGUGAGCUCCCUUCGUACUGUGCCUUGAUGGUGUUGGUGAUCAUCUCCUGCAGCUGCUGGAUAGAAAGAGAUCCCAUGAGUGCCGCUGCUUGGUCUGGCUCCGGCUUCCCAUCGAUUUUCUUCACCGGGGGUUCUUCGUCUCCGCCAGCUCCUCCCUUUAGUGGAUCAUCCUCUGGGUCGGGUUUAUCGCCGUCCUGCGCCUCCAGUCGGUUGACUAGUGCUGCAAUUUGCAAGUCUUUUUCUUCCACAGUUCGGGUUAGCCUUGCAAUUGCUUCAUUCAUUUGAGUCAGCUGCUCAUCGAUUGAAGUUGCUCCAAUGGUCAUGACUUGCAUGGCUGAACUGUCGCUUGAAUCGGCAUCAGAGAACAUGGAUUCGGAGUAUUUCCUUGGGCUUUCCCCCCCUUGGUGCCCUUAGUGAGGCUAAGGUGAUCAAAGGCUCGUGCCUUGGGUGCUUUUGUUCCCUUGGCAGAGUUGAUGCAGAGGUGAAAGAGGCAGCAGAAGUAGCUCUUGCCAUGCUUCGAGUCGUGAUGCCCAAAGUGACACCAGUUGCGAUGAGGACGCUCUUGUUCUUUGUGCCAGUUGCGGGAACAGUUUGAGCCUUCCUUGAAGCCAUUAAUUUUGGAAGUGUGCUCGAAUUUCUUGAACGGAGAAAGAGAUGAGAGGUAGAGAUUGUCCCACUGGGCGUGCCAAUUUGUGAACACGGAAAAUUCCUGAAACGAAAGAGACAAGAACAAACGUGCACAAACAAAUAUUUGUAUUUGAUGAUUUUGGGUUACAAUCUCUCUCUAUUUUGAUCCUCUGAUUCGAUCUCCGUAAGGUGUGUAUUUGUGGAUGUGCGAUUGAUCCAAGGGCCGUCGGGGCUUGAUCUUGGAUGAACUGUUUGGAAGUUUCUUCAAAGGGCCGUGGGCUUGAUCUUUGAAGGUGGAUUUGAGCGGAUCUUCAAGGAGCCGUUGGGGCUUGAUUUUGAGGAUGAAUGUUUCUUCAAGGGCCGUUUGAGGCUUGAUCUUGAAUAACGGUGAUGAGCGGAUCUUCAAGGGCUUUUGGGCUUGAUCUUGAAGAAACAGUGAUGAACAGAUCUUCAAGGGCUUUUGGGCUUAAUCUUGAAGAACGGUUGGAUGUGUGUGGAUUUGUCGACGUUGUUGAUCCAAAGGGCCGUUGGGGCUUGAUCUUGGAUGAACGGAUGAUGAACGAUGGUGCUUUCUUCUUCAAGGGCCGUCGGGGCUUGAUCUUGAAUUGGUGGAUGAUUGUUGAUCCAAAGGGCCGUUGGGGCUUGAUCUUGGAUGAACGAUGAACGAAGAACGAAGAGAGCUUUCUUGAUUCUUCGGGAACCUGGAUGCUUGAGAGCUUCGGAGUUUCAGAGCUUCAAAGCUUCAAGGUGUAAUAUGAAUUGGUUCCCCAAAAUGAAUGAAAUGGGCUUGUAUUUAUAGAAUUUUCCAAUGCCUAAUUUUGAAUAUAAUAUCCCAGAUGAAAUAAGUCGUUUCUGCCAGGUGUUGACACGUGUCCUAUUUGAUGACUUUUCCAACCCAUUUCAAUUUUCGUUGAGUCACACGCUACGUGUAAACUUUAUGUAAUACAUGAGCGUUGACACUUUGAUUUAUCGGUCAACAUUUAUUUUCCGAAAUUUCGAUGUCUACAGGUAUAACCAUUUACUCGCGAAAUUUAAAUGGGCGGUUAUGGGUAUUAACCGCGGUUAUAAAUGGGUAACCAUUUACCUAUUUAUUUUAUAUAUGUAAAACUAACACAAACCAUGUUCUCGAUCCAAUAAUACUUAGCACCCAAUAAAUUAGCAAGGAAUUCAUCGGUCAUUCUCUUAAUAACACUGCUACAGGAAUGAUGAUUCUCAUCAUAAAGGAAUUGACCAAAUUAAUUUAAAUUCCUUGCAUGUAAUCAUGAAAUUGACAGAAAUGCUUUGACAUAAAUGUCUUCUAAACAAUUUUUGUAACCCAAUAAUACUUAGCAAAUAUUAUAUUUACCUUCAUUGGUAACAGUUAAAAAUAUCAUCCGUAAACUGUUAUUUCAAUUAUUGAAAUGGUAUAAGGACUUAAAAAAAUUAAAAUAUGGAAAUGUAUGAUGAAUGUACCUAUAACGGUGUUUCAUUGUAAAAAAAAAGAAAAUUAUGACAAAUUUUUUUAAUUUUAAAGUUGUUAAAAAACAUGUAGACCGGUGAAAAAGGGGUAAUGGUAAAAAAAAUAAACGGGUUAAAAAGGAUAAAUGGGUAAACGGGUAUUAAACGGUUACGGUUAAAUGGGUAUGCGGUUAUGGGUAUAGGUAUAACCGUUUAGGCAAUUACCCAACGGGUAAACGGUUAUGCGGGUAUGAGCAUAAACGGUUAUGGGUAAAUAAUCGCGGUUACCCGUCCACCAUAACCGUUGCCCAUUCCUAGUAGAGGGGUGGGGACAAUGUGUGAGCGAGAGAUGAUGGGACGGGUGAAAGAGAGAUAGUUGACUAGCGCGUGGUAUACGCGCGUCAUCUAUCAGGGAUUCACUUGUAAUAUGCGAGCUUUAGUUGUCAAGAGAAUAUUUAGGACUGGUUUGGUAUUGUUAUGCUUUGAAGAAAAAAAUUCCUGCUAUAUUGUGAGAAUAAGCAGUUGUGAUAUAAAGCAAUAUAGUAUUUGGUAAUUUUUUUUGUAAAAGUGUUUUUGGAAAAAAAAAUAAUAAUAAUAUUAUAGUGUUUGGUAUAAUUUUAAGCAAAACAGCUGUGACUGUAUGAAAUGACAAAUAAGAGUAUAAUACUAGAUGUGCCAUAAAUUUAAUUUUCUUAACAAAUAAAUGUGAAUUACUAAAUAUACUUUCUUUGUAAAAGAAAAAUAUUUAUAAACUUUAUCUUAAAUAUUAGUUAGUAUGACAAACUACUUCCAUUGAAAUAUUUUAGACUAAAUAGCUAGGAUUCAUUAGUACAAUAUUGUUAAUGUACUUAAAAGUAGUCUAAUUAGAUGCAUUCAUUAAACUUGCUAUUAUUCUAUUUCUUAAUGUUUCUAUCUCAUGUGAUUUUUCAACUUGAUAAUUUUGGUAUUCUUCGUCAUCAUCACUAUUAUCGCUCUCUUCACAAAAGUUUAUGAGAUCAUCAAAAUGACAAUCACGUUCAAAAUACCUUCGUAUGUAGCGUAUACUUCAUCUUCAUUUACCAAAAAAAAAAAUGGCAUCUUUCAUUUAACCAGAAUGUUAAGUCUUCGUUCCCUCUAUCCGCAGUAUAGAAUUGGCGAAUUCCCUAACUAAAAAUUGGGUUUUGGGUGAGGUUGCAUUCGCACCAGGGUAUCGGUGGGAUGGAGAGGUCAUGCCACUCCAACCCCAAUUCCUCCAUCAUUACAUGUCUCUCCCAAGAAACCAUCCAUCCCUGUCUCUACCCAUCCACUAUCUCUCUCCUCUCUGCAACACACUGAACCGAAUUCAAGUUUUUACCAACCCUUUAUCAUUUCCCUACUUCUGUGUAAUACAAAAAAAGAAACCUAAUUCAAAUUCUUCAUUUCUGUAGCUCUUUCUCGGCACAUUCGUUAAAAUUUAGAUAAGUUCAGUUGUGGGUAUUUAAAAUAUAUCAAUUUUUAGCUUGAAUUUAUCGAAUUGGAUUCUGGGUAGGUCGGGUCAAGAGGGUAGGUCGGGGUUCAAAAAGGGGUUAGAAUCAAAUUAUAUAGGAGUUUUGAUGUGGUAGGAGGUGGAGGCUUGAGCCGGGAAUGAAGUUUCAUGUUAGGGAUUGGGUUUGGGGCGACGAGUUGGGAGUGAACAAGUGAGACGGGAGGGAGAGAACCAUUGAGAUGCUAGAGCAAGGAAGAGGACGACGCGAGAGUUAAGGGUAGAAUCGGCAUUUGCAAACUUUCAUUAAACAUUUCUGUUCACCUGUGUUUUUAAGAUAAAAAGCUGGUUUUUGAAAGCAGCAAAUAGUUGCUUCCACUUUUCAGCUGUUUUUUGUAGCAAUUUUGAAAAUAAGUGCUUUGUUACUAAGUUACCAAACACAAUAUUGAGCUCAACUUUUUUUCAUCCCUACUUUUAAAAAAAUUUAAGCAGUACCAAACUCGUACUUAGACCCAUAACACCCAUAAGUUGAUACACUAGCUUCAGACUCGUAACUUGAUCGACCACCUUUGGAAUCGUCAUCUUGUCUAGUUUCUUCUUCUACUUUUGGUUCUCUCGACAUGAAGACACGAUCAAAUUUGAAUUUCUCAGCAUCUUCGGCAUACAACAGGCAUAUACCACAACUUUCCGCCUUCAUAUCGACAACGCGUCGGUUGUCUUCAUCCGACGUGUUGUCUUCAUCCGACACAACCUCCAGGCAGAAGUCAACAGAGGCCCCAUUGGCAAGUCUGUAAACAUUAGGGGAGCAUUCUUCUUCUACCUCUUCAAUUCUAAAGGCCUCAUUCCACACAUACACGUGAUGUUGGUCGUAAUAGUAGUUCAUAGCUGCCUCUCGCAUACAACAUUAAUUUGAUGCCAAGGAGUGUGCUUUGAUGGAGCACUAGUUUGCCUCUCGCAUAAUUCUAAUCUGUGCUUCUUCCAUUAUGUUGCUUCUUGCAUUAUUAUCCAAUUUUGGGCAAUUAAUAAAACGUUUGCAAAAACGAUCAUGUUGAACCCAACCUUGUGUGAGUGUUGUCCUUGUACUUGACACUGUCUUCAGCGACGUGCAGCCUUCAGCUUCAACAUUACAUAGCACUGGGAGCUCUGGUAAAGAUUGAAGCUGCUUGCAGCCGACUAAGCCGAGUUUAGACUACCGAGAAGCUUGUUUGAUGCUUGCAGGUAUGCUCCUAACCUUGGUUCCACUCAGAUAUAAUUCUUGCAAUGAGGUUGAGCAAACGAGACCAUCAGGGACAUCCUUAAGGUGCUUGCAGCCACUAAGGUCUAAAGUUUGAAGACUAAUUAGGUUUUCAAUAGACGAAGGAAGCAUUUCGAUAGUUGUCCUAUUCAAACUAAGAGACACCAAAAGUUCCAUUGGCUUCAAGAUUUCAGGGAAUUUGGAAAAUCUAGAGCAAUCUUUGAGAUCAAGUCUCUCAAUAUAUUUCAACUUGCAGAUGUUACCUGGGAUACUUGAAAGCCUUUUGCAACCUUGUGGUUUAUUAUGUUUGAGCGCAGGGGGAAACUCGAUUAAUGAGGGUAGCUCUUUAACCGUUGUUCCACUUAAAUAUAAGAACUUCAAAUGUUCCAUUAGCUCUAAGAUCUCUUAGAAGUUUUCAAGUUCAGGGCACCCAGAGAGAUCGAGUUUUUUGAGAUAUUUCAACUUACAAAUGCUCUUUGGGAUACUUGAAAGCCGUUUGCAACCUUCUAGUUCAAGUCUUUUGAGAGAAGGGAGAAACUCGAUUGAUGAGUGUAGCUCUUUUACCACUGUUCCACUUAAAUUUAAGCACUUUAAAUGUUCCAUUGGCUCCAAGAUCUCUGGGAAGUUUUCAAGUUUGGAGUAGCUAGAUAGAUUGAGUUCCUCCAAAUAUUUCAACUUACAAAUGUAGGUUGGUAGACUCACAAGUCUCUUGCAAUCAACCAAUGAUAAUGUAGUUAUAUCCUUGGGAAGCUCAGAAAACUCGCCACGAGAUGUGCAGCCAUCUAGAUUAAAACAAUCAGAGACUUUCAGUUUACACAUGUUGCUUGGAAGUUUAUCAAGGUCUUUGCAAUAACGUAUAUUCAAGUAAGAAAUAUUUUCGUUAGGCCAAACUGAUUCAGGCAACUCCUUUAUACCAGUGUCUUGUAAAUCUAAGUAUUUAAUACUUCCUGGCAUUUCUGGAAGAUACUUGAGACUCCAGCAAGCUGCAAGACCAAGACGAGUAAGCUUGUGGAGAUGUUGAAAAUACCAUGGAAUUUCAACCAAACAUGGACAGCCACAGAGAUUUAUGUGCACAAUUUUUAGACUCCCAGAGAGAUUUGGAACUUCAGUUAGAUAAUGAGAGUGCGACAGAUCGAUAACUUGUAAGUUGACAAGCAUCUGCAACAAAUGAAAUAGAAAUAUAAAGAAUUAAUAUAAUUUCUACACUUGAUUUUAUACAAGAAUUAAAAUAGACAUAUAAUAUAAUAUACCUAGUUUUCUUUCCAAAGAUUCUUAACUUUGAUAUUGGGCAUGUGAAGCUCAACUAGAUUUUCCGAAGAAAAAGUUGACGGCAAAGAUUCCAGCGAAUAAUAAACCCAGUAAAGAUAACGAAAAGAAUCGGGAAGGUCUAGAGGAGCGGUCAAUUGACCACACGAGCUUAGAAUUAUUAGGUUAGACAUCUUUUUGAAGUCUGCAUGUUUCAAUGGUCGCUCUUCAAGAUUAUACCAAUCAACCUCUAUGGCUUUAACAUUUGGAGUUUCCUAACAAUUAGAAGAAAGUUUAAAUGUGAAUACAUAUGUUUUCAAUAUGUUCAAAUGCAACACACAUUUGGAACAAAGAGUAUUUGUCAUGGUAAUGAUGCACAUGUGUCUUAGUCUAGUCAAAUAUCCAACGUAAUUGUAUCCUCCUCUACUUGUCUAAAUAAACAAACAUUUGUUCAUAUUCCAAACACUCCUAACACAAUAAAUAUUCAAUCAAAUUCAUUUUUUAAAAUCUCACUUCUUUAUUAUAAAUUAGUUUUACUUUGUUCUGUUAUCAUAUGAAGUUUGUAAUUUUUUUUUUCUAAAAAAGAAAAGAAAAAAAUUGAAUGAAUUUGUGGUGCCAAUAAGAGCUUCAUCAAUGGAGGGCAACCACAAUUCUCAAAAGCUUCACACAUUCCUUAUCAAGACACUAUGAAGCAAAACCAAUUUAUCGUGCCAACAAGAGCUUCAUCAAAGGAGUUUAACCAUAAUUCUCAAAAGCUUCACACACUCUUCAUUAAGACAGUGUGAAGCAAAACCAAUUUAUGGUGCCAACAAAAGCUUUAACACCAAAGCUUCACCUAUAAAGCUUCAACAUAAAAGCUUCACCUACAAAGCUUCAACUCCAAAGCUUCAACUCCAAAGCUUCACUUACAAAAGCUUCAACUCCAAAGCUUCACUUACAAAAGCUUCAACUCCAAAGCUUCACCCACAAAGCUUCAACUUCAAAGCUUCACCCACAAAGCUUCAACUCCAAAGCUUCAACUCCAAAGCUUCACCUACAAAAGCUUCAACUCCAAAUUUUCACCUACAAAAGCUUCAACUCCAAAGCUUCAUCUACAAAGCUUCAACAUAAAAGCUUCACCUAUAAAGUUUCAACACAAAAGCUUCACCUACAAAGAUUCAACUCCAAAGCUUCACCCAUAAAGCUUCAACUCCAAAGCUUCACCCACAAAGCUUCAACUCCAAAGCUUCACCUACAAAGCUUCACCUACAAAGCUUCAACUCCAAAGCUUCACCCACAAAGCUUCAACUCUAAAGCUUCACCUACAUAAGCUUCAACUCCAAAGCUUCACCUAAAAGCUUCAACACAAAAGUUUCACCUACAAAGCUUCAACUACAAAUGCCAAAAGCUUCACACACCUUUGAUCAAGAUAGUGUGAAGCAAAAUCAUUUCAUGAUACCCAACAAAGCUUCACCUACAAAGCUUCACCUAUAAAGCUUAAAUAUAUAUAUAUAUAUAUAUUUUCUUUCGGAAAUUCAAAAAUUUGAAAAUUAGGAAAUUCGAAAAAAAAAAUUGAAAAUUAAAAAAAAAAAAAAAAAAAAAAAGCCUAGGCCUCAUCUUCUUUAGGCCUAACAACUUUCAUAACAAAUAUAUAUGAAGGAUGAGCUUUGGGCUACCACUUAGAAAGGAAAACGGUGAAGUUUUGUUACUUUGGAAAUUUGGCUACUAGCAAGACACCUCAUCGUCAACUCCCUCGACCGGAGACUUGGGGGACUCCUACCAUAUGCUACUACACCUCGGUACUUGGAAGGUUCAAGUCUCCAACCGAGAAAUUUUUCUCACUCGGGAAAUUAAGGGAGCACUACCUCAACCUACAUGCUUCACUCACAAAGCUUCAACAUACAAGCUUCAACAAAAGAAAAAAUUCAAAGAACUUAGUGAAGAAGGCCUUGGUGUAUUUAACACAAUACGUUGAAAUGAAGCAAAGUUUAUUUAUUGAUAUCUCCGAUAAGUUACAAAUAUAUAUAUAUACAUGAAUCAAAAUAAACAAAUAAGAUGGAGUCUUCACAAAAGUUGCUCAGGAAAAGUCUCAGCAGUAGGCAGAGCCCCAGAAAGAGGAGGCACUGAAGGGUGAUCAUUUGGAGUCUCAGUACUGGGCAGAACCCCAGAAGGAGGAGGCACCGAAGGUUGAUCAUUUAGAGUUUCAUUACGCGGUACAACCCCAGAAGACGAAGGCAAUAAUGUCUUUGGAACAAACUCACAAACCUCUGAUGAUUAAGUAAAAUCUAACAAUCAGAUUCCUACAGUUGGUCGAGCUUCCUCUUCAUGUUUGUAGCAUAGUCAUGUGCGAGCCUGUGCAACUGUUUAUUCUCAUGCUUGAGCCUUCUGAUCUCCUGUUUGAGACUUAUCACUUCAGCCGCCAAUGAUUCAACUUGGCGGGUUUAGCAAAUAUGCGUUGUGCCAUAUUAGACACAGAACCUGCACACUGAACAUUGAGAGCCAGAUAAUCCUUAACAGCCAACUCAUCAGACUGUUUGGAAAGUAGUCUGUUAUCUUUGGGAGUGAGAAGGUUCCUAGCCACCACCGCAGCGGUCAUAUCAUUCUUCAUCAUAGAGUCCCCAAAGGUAAGAGGACCGAUAAGGGAUAAGAAAGAUGGACGUCAUAUGUUAUCUUGAGGAGGCAUGAUUGUCUCUUCACCAAAGUUCAAAUCAAAACGAUGGUCGGAUGGGCCAGACAUUCUCAGAAAUGAUGAAUGAGAAAUGAGGUCCAAUAAAUCUCUGAAGUACAAAUAUAAGGGGAAAAUUCCUACAAGCAAUAAUUCUCUGAACGUACUUCUUGCACACAAUUGGUGCCCUAUAAAAGAAAGGGCAACAUGGCCGUUGGUUCAAAAAUCGAAGAGGUACCACUCUCCUGAUUUCGAGAAACAAAUUUUCCUAAGUAAAAUCUGUCGACAAUCUCCACACGCAACAUUAGCUCAUCGGGUACCACAUAUAACUUUGCCAAAGAUCUCUAACAAAGUUUAGACACAUAAAUUUUGAAGGUCCAGUUACCCUACCAUUACCCACAAAGGUAAAGGAACAACACCACUGCUUGAUAACUGGAAAAUCCCUAUGUGUGUCAGCCUCUGUGCUCCGUGGCAAGGCAGACUGGCAAAAAUGUCUAACCUUUACUCACAUUGAGAAAACACUCACAACAUGAUUACUUGCUCAAAAAUCGAAGAAGCACCGCUCUCCAAAUCUCGAGAGCCAGACUCCCACUAGGAUUGCUUUCUCAAAAAUUGAAAAGGCACCGCUCUUCGAAUCUCGAGAGCCAGACUCUCACCAGGAUUGCUUUCUCAAAAAUCGAAGAGGCACCGCUAUCCGAAUCUCGAAAGUCAGACUCACAACAGGAUUGCUUUCUCGAAAAUCGAAGAGGCACCACUAUCUAAAUCUCAAGAGCCAGAUCCCCAAUAGGAUUGCUUGUUCAAAAAUUGAAGAGGCAACACUCUCCAAAUCUUGAAAGCCAGAUCCCUAAAAUGAUUGCUUGUUCGAAAAUCGAAAAGGCACCGCUCUACGAACUUCGAGAGCCAGAUUUCCUUGGAUAAAAUUUAUUUGCAAUCUUCACACGUAACAUCAACUUUCCAGAUACCGCAGACCACUUUUUCAAAGUGCUCUGACAAAGUUAAAACACGUGAAUCUUGCAGCUCCCACUACAUUGCUAUGACCGAAAAGGGUAAAGGAACAGCGUUACUACUCGUUGUUGGGACAAUUCCUAUAUAUUUCGACCUCCAUCAUCCACAGCCAGGCAGACCUGCAAAUAAAUAAAAAAUGCUAAACUUUUCUUCACAUCCGAGAGGGCACUCUAAGUAGAGUCUCUCGAAAAUACUCAGCUUCUUUUUCCCCCUAUAAUACCUCUGCAAACAAGCUACACCAGAACAAAAAUAUCUCAUAUCAUUAAGGUUAAAAGCAAGAGUAUCUCAUAUCAUACUUUUUCCCUGUCUUUUCUUUUACCCUUGUUCUUACCUGCAAGACAAGGAGAAAUAGAACAAUCAGUCAGCACUUGGAAUUAAGCUUCCAGUCAGGAACUGACUACCUGGAACCCCUUGCCUGAUUACUUACCUAGCAUUACUCUCGAGUACUCAUCUUCAACAUCUUGUGCUUCUAGAAAAGAUACCACAUCUGCCUAAGGAAUAGAUAGAGCAAGUGAGAAGAAUACAAGAAAGCAUGUGGAGACAAGCGCAACAGAACACAUAUCGAUUCAUCUAUUACUUUGUCAACAACAAAAGUAUCCCAUAUCAUCAAGGUCGAGCGCACCCUUGAUUUGAUGGACUUGUUUUUACUCUCAAAUUCUUGAGUCGGCCUUAUACUCUAGAGGAAACCAGAAAACCCUCCAGCACAGUUCAAGAAUAAGUCAGUGGAAAGUUACUUCUUCAAAAGCAAAAGUAUCUCAUAUCAUCUCUUCUCCUUUUUCUUCUCUUUAUCCUUCUUGCUACCUACAAGAUAAGGAGAAUGAGAACAAUCAGCCGGAACUUGAAAUCAAACUUCUGAUAUGGGACUGAUUACUUGGAACUCUAAUUGCUUACCUUGUCUAUCACCUCUUUCGGCAUAUCUCCUAGUUUGGCGACUUGGGGGACUCCUACUACAUAGUUUGUAUCGCGCUUGACCAAGCCUUAAACUACAAGUAAGCUUCAAGUGAAAUUGAUACAUUACCUUGUGCAUCUUCACCGGUUAAUGAUACCACACCUGGAUGGAUGAAAAGUACUUCCAGAUAAGAUACCAUAUCUACCUACGAGACAGAUAAGGCAAGUGAAAACGAUACCACAUUUCGGUACUUAGAAGUUUCAUGAUUACUCAGCAGCUUGGAUCUUACAAGUCCCCAACCGAGGAGCUUCCCUCACUCGGGAACUUAGGGGAGUAUUGUUUGUACCAUACUUGACCAAUCACGAAACUACCGAUCACCAAUCAACGUUAUACCGAGAGUUUCCUUCCAACCAGGAGGCCAAUCACAGCGUGACACGCGUCGACAUUAGAAGCUAAUUAUAGCGCGACACGUGUUAACAUCAGAAGCUAAUCACAACACAACACGUGUUAAUGUCAGAACAAAGCUAGAAACUCUCUUCUAUAAAAGGAGAUCAUUCUCCCAUAAUAUUUCCUAAUGUCAUUUGUACUAAAUCAUUCACUAGUACUCACUAAAGGAGAGCUUGAACCUAUGUACUUGUGUAAACCCUUCACAAUUAACGAGAACUCCUCUACUCCGUGGACGUAGCCAAUCUGGGUGAACCACGUACAUCUUGUGUUUGCUUCCCUGUCUCUAUCCAUUUACAUAUUUAUCCACACUAGUGACCGAAUCAAUCUAGCAAAGGUCACAAACUUGACACUUUCUAUUGUACCAAAGUUCUCACUGAUUUUGUGCAUCAACAACCCGGAUUUUUUUGAAUGAUCAAACCCAGAUAGAUUGGCUGCAGUCGUCAAAGCAUCCCUUCACUUGUGCACCUUGUCGAUACUGUUAGUGAAUCGUUUUUCAAGUUGAGCAAAUACAUAUGCAUAACUCCCGUGUUGUUUUCGUACAUUAGAUGGAUCGAUGUCGUAGAAUACGGGUAUAACCAUCCGGCCUUCUCUGUUGUUGCAUUUUAGUAUAUGCACAAGCUCAUCCAAACACCAUGUGGAAGAAGCAUAGUUUUGCUAGAAAAUGAUCGCCGAGAUGGUGGAUUUCUCGAUUGCUUCUAGAAGGGCAGGUUCGAUUUCUUCUCCUCUCUGAAGUCUAUUAUCGAUGUAGGUUUCAACUUUCUUAUGAAGUAAGGCAGCAUGAAGAUGGCUGGUAAUACCAAGGAUGGCUGGUAAUACCAAGGCAGGUGUCCCCACCUCUGAAAUUGAUAAACACAUCGUACUUUUCUCGAUGUGGGGGGUUAUCAGCAUCAUCAUCAUCAUCCUUAACAGCAGCAGAAUCAGCCGCAGGAGACGAAGAAGAAAAUGAUUUGCAACACAUGUACAACAGAGUCCCGAUGGCGAUGAUGAUGAUGUUGAAAACUUGAAUCAAGGCAAUCAACUUCAUCUCUCUAUUAGGUAUGUGCACAAGGUUACAAACGUUUCAGAAGGACAAAAAUUGAAAAUAUGGAAAGACAAGGAUUAGUCACUUUCGCAUACUUAAAAAAUAAUGAACACAACUUGGCUGCUGUAAAUUCAGCAGCCGGUCCUGCUUACAACCAAUUUAGGAUGGACACGUGUCCAAGUUUUGAUUUUUUAAUCAAAAAAUUAGACACGUGUCCAUUCCGGAUUGUUUGUAAGUAGGACCAGCUGCUGAAUUCUUCAGCACCCAAGUUCUUUCCAAAAAUAAUUUGAAUAAUACUUAAAUAUUCCCUAGUAAGUAUUUUAUGUACUCACCCAGUUGACAAGUGUUUUUUGUUUUAAAAGCCUAAGAAAAAUUAAUGACAUGUACAUUAUAUUAUACAAGAAUAAAACAUGUGUUAAUUUAUCAUUGGACAAAAUUAAGAGGUGAGUACUCCUUAGUGGAAAAGGAUCCUCUUAAGAUUUUCUUUGUGGAGAUCCGAAGAUCCAUCAAUCACGAUUGUUCAUCGUACAUCGUGCAAUUAGUUUUUGUUCGAUAUUAUCUAUAUUUAAUUUUAAGUUUAAAAUUUAAAAUGAUUUUUAAACGCACGAUGUACGAUGAUGAUCGUGAUUGAUGAAUUCCCCGAUCCCCACAAAGAAGAUCCGAAUAUAAUCUUUUUUCUCAUUAGUGAGUACACAAAUAUUGUCCUCAUAAUUAUAUUUUGCUUUCACAGUUUCGUAAAUAUGUUACAAAAUGCAUGUAUAAUGUCUACAUGUCCAUUGGGAAGAAGCAGCAGUGGCAAUAUCCAUUACCUUGAAUUAGCUUUUGGCUACAUGCACAACGUUUCAAAGGCUCGAAAACAAACGAGUGAGAGAUGAACGAAAGUGGAAAAUGGGGCACAUGAUACGCACAUAUUUUAUUUAUAAAAAAAAAACAAAAAAAAAGCUAUAAUUUAAAGAAAGAUAUUCAUAUAUUUGCAAUCUUAAUAUGAACAACGUCAUCUCUGCUUGUAAGGGAAGACAAUUGAUCAAGGGAGGCAGAUUGUCUGCCACCUCUUUGGGAAUAUUAAUGAGUGAGAGAUGAAUACUUAUAAAAGUAUACAAAGGGGCACAUGGGAUGGGGCCCUCCCUUUACGCUCUUUGCGUGCACAGUUGUAAAGUUUUCCAGUUAGAGUUGGUUAAGUAUUAUUGUGUUUUGAAAACAAAAAUUGUUUCUGUUAUGUUGUGAUAAUAAAUUCAUUUUUGCUGUUUCACGUUUUUAGUUUAUUUUUAUCUAAAAUUGUAAAAAUAAGCUACUUUUGAAUGUUUACCAAACAUUUUUUUUAGCUCAAUUUUUUUAUACCCAUUUUUCUAUAUAAAAUACAUCAGUAUCAAACCACUAUUUAAUACUUUAUAUUUUUGUUCUUAUUGUUGUUAAAAGUUGAGUGUGUAUAAUUUUGUCCUUUCUAUUAAAUAAGUUGUUGAGUGCUUUUGAUUAAGAAAAAAAUUGUUGAAGCCUUUUUAAUUAAAUUGCCCUUAUUUUUUUAGUAAAUUACAAAUUAGGCCCACCAAGAAGGUUGGGAUCACUUUCAUGUUGAAUCAUUUGUUUGAUAUAUUUGGACGAAUAAAUGAUUUCUGAUUCGAGACUUAUGUAAGUCUUUAUUAACUGUUUACGUAGUAGGUGCAAAUUCCACUUUUUAAAAGUGUAAUCAAAUCACACCUAAAUUUCAAUCAGACAUAAAAAAUUUACAACUUAAAUUGUUAAAAGUUAAUGUUUCGUUUGCAUUUACCAACUCUACUUUGGUUUUCAGGUAACCUUCAACAAAAAUUUGAUGACAAUUUUUCUAGCAAAAGAACUUUUACUACAUUUGUUUCAACAAAACAUAAUUGACAGCAACUACGAAACUAACAGAUGUUAAAACCUAACCUUAAUCUACAAGCAUUCCUCGUUUGUCUUCAUGAUUGACUGUCCCUCGUUAUCUCAUUUAUUUUUCUUUAAUCUCUCUUCUUUUCAAUUUUUAUUCGUAUGUUAUGUAUCGUUUAGUGCACCGAAAAAAAUGGUUAAAUCUUGCAUAUAAUGAAUCUUUCAACGGCUAUAUCUUGUAUAAAACUUGUAUUUUAAUGGUAUACAUCAUUUUAAGCGAACUUUUUUUUUUCGCAUAUUUAACCAAACUUUUUUUAUUUUUCUUGCUGUUUUAAUAUUGGAUAAUAAAAUAUUUAGUAUUGACACUCCACAAGUGUAGUGUCAACUUCCCAACAGGAUCCUCUUCGGAUCCUUUUGGUGAAGAUCUUGGGAAUCCGUGAAUCGUGUUCGUUCAUCGUACAUCGUGUGGUCAGUUUUUGCUAGGUACGGUUUGUGUUUAAUUUUAAAUAAAAAUAUUUAAAAUGAUUUCUGACCGCACGAUGUACGAUGAACGGACACGAUUCAAGGAUCCCCAAGAUCCUCACAAAGAGGAUCAGGCGAGGUUCCGGAUUCAUCAACUUCAACUCUCAUAUUUUUCACUCCUCCACUUCAACUCCAAUGGUCCAAUGACCCUUGGAAUGCCAAGAAAGAUGUAUAUAUGUACGCAAUUUAGUACUACGGUCUAUUGUUAUUUUUCUUAACUUGUAGAUAAAAAAAUUUAGGUUCAAUUCUUACCAAAAACAAAUUUGAACCACAUUAUUAUGGCUGACUUAUGAUGAGAUUUAACCGACUAAUAUCAUUUGUUAAAAAUAAAAUAAAACGAUGUAAGUACAAAAUCUUUUUGUGCUCAUCAAACGUAUGAUGAAAUGCUUUUUAAAAAUGACACGACACUCAUGUUCACAACAUUUGACAUGAAAUCUUAACAUCAUUCGGCAAAUUGCUUUGACAUUUGUCGAAUGAAUGCAUACACCACUACGCGCUCAACAAAAUUCCUUAUUGAAUUUUUUUUUAAUUUUUUUUUGGCGUGCACGGUUUCCGUCUAAAACGAGUAAUAUUGACACAAGCAGCAGAUUAUAGAUAUAAUACAGUUUUCUUAUUCAAACACCAAAGCAGGAACUUGCAAGGGAAAACCAAGCACACUCAAUUUACAUUUACAGAUAACAGCAGAGAUAGCAACUCCAACUCCAAAUCCAUCGGCAUUCUCACAUCUUACAAACAACUACUACUAUAUUUAUAUAGUCGCGCACUCACUAGAUUGCAACCCAGAACAAACAACACCCAAACCCUAGCAUACAAAAUGCUUACUUAUAUCAAUACAUUAUUAGCACGUGGAAACCCCUAAUUAAACAGCUUCUUCUUCCCUCCGGCCAUGCAUGGCUGAUCCGUCCACAGAAAACACGUUCAUUUCAUCUCAUGGAUGAUUUCGAUUGGACAAGAACGCAGUUUUCAUAUGUCACACGUCGCAAGGAGAACGGGCGCUCCUUCCUCCAACGACCUCGCUCGCCUUCUCGUAUGCAUCCGACGCUGACCUCCUUCGAAACCGCCCGAAUGACUCCCUGCCACCUAAAACCACCAUCAAUACAACACUAUCAACAUUUGCUUAGGAACACUGCUCGACUCGUUACAAUGCACUUAAGAAUCACUAACAAUCAGACACGAAUCACUAUAACCUGACACGUACGCAAAAACAUACUCAUUACAAAAAAUAGUUCUUUAUGCACCUUGUUAACUACAUUAUUCAUAAUUGUUACAAAAUGGCAACAAAAAAUCUGGCUUAAGAAUGUAAAGGUUUGUUUGGUCCUCUACUUGAAUCCAACUUUUUUAACUAAAAAAUAAUUUUCAAGUUUUAAGCCAUAAAAACUUGUUUAGUAUGACUAUUUUCAAAAACUGAACUCAAGAUUAACUAAAUAAUAUAGUCUAUUCUUUAAAAACAUAAAAAGUAGGUUUUUAGAGUUUAUAAACAAUUCAUUCGUUUCUUUUCUUUCACUCCAAAUCUAUCUCUCAUUUUUUCUUUCUCUCCUUUUUUUCUUUUACCUUUUUCAUCUCUCAUUCAAUCCGUUCUCUUCAUUCUCUUCUUUUUUUAUCUCACUCCUCUUUCUUUCUAUCUCAUCCGAUUCUCUCUCUUCUUUUUCUUUUCUUCAAUCAUCUUACUUUAUUUCCCCCUCUCCUCUCUUUCUCCCUCUCCUGCUACCCUCUUUUUUUUUAUCUCUUUAUUUAGUUUAAACCGUAAGAUUUAAAAAUUUUAAAUCACAAACCAAUCAAGUUUUUCAGUCUUAAAUAAAAUUGUUAUUAAUUAAUAUUCUUAAAAAAUAUUUAGAGAAAUGAUAAAAAAUUCAGAUACGAUAUCAAAUAAGCCUCAAGAUUUGAUGGUAUUGUCAACAAGGGCAUAAACGUCAGUUAACAAAGAAAUCUAUACCAAAUUCUAGAACAUAGAUAUUAAGUUAAAUUACUACCACACCCUUGUCUCCCAAACACAUCAGUGAUGAGUGGAGGCUCCACCAUUUGUGGAAACUUGGUCCCACAUGCAAUGAGGCAGAGGCAUAUCUGCCAUUUCAAAUGCUUACCAGAAAACGGGGACACCGGCGGCGUAGACCCAGCUGGCGAAAUUGGAGAAGAAACCCCAGCUGGCGAAACCGGAGCUGAUCCGCCGUUAGCGCUCCCAUAACCUGGGGGCUUCACUAUCAUAAUACUCCGCGUAAUUUUCGCCUCUUCCGGCGAAUUCCCACCCAACGAUCUUACGCUUCCGCCAUCUGACGAUCCUAAUUCAACCAAACCAAACCAAAACAAACAAUUAAACUUCCAACAAGAUUGCCACCCCUAAUUAAUAUCAGCCGCAUGAUCUCAACACUUUCAUGUUUCGAUUUCAUUUUCAACCGUUCGAUCUAUUUGCAAAUGAUCUGAGAUUUUCGAUUAAAAGCUUUUAUUCCUGGAGAAUUUAACGUAAAAUUGGUAAAGGUUUAGCAGUUAGUUGCGUUCAACACGUGUGCCAACACGCGCCGCCAGAAAAAUACUAAAACGACGACGCACCAGUGGCGGAGCUGGACCGGAAACUGAAGGUUUUGUGCUUGCGAAGUUUCCCAAGACCGCUGUCGGGCUGAGGCCCGGCGAGGGUGUCGUCCCAAAGCUGAUCAAGUAGGCCCAUGUUCCUGAAGGAUCGGCGUAGGAUAGCAGAUCAGGCGUACUUUAACGACUUUGGUAGUGGGAUUGGACUGGAGACUAGAGAGGGAGUGAAACGAGGAGAUCGGGUAGUUAUUUAUCGGCGGCGUGGGCGUUAAAGGUCGAACAAGUAUUCAGAUCCAGAGAGAUCUGGAACGUUCGUCGGAUCGAGAGGGAGUGCUGAUGUUGCGUGUAGAUCGAGAAGCGCAUAGUUGGGGAUAAGAUCGAUGUGACAGACGCGGACCCAAGGCUAAUGGGUGAUUUUAAGGGCGGCUAUCUCACGUGAGUUAGUGAGAGUGAAGAUACUAGAAUGCCCUCAACUUUAUCCGGAUUUAUAUUAAGUUUGACUCGGUAUGAAUUCAGAAUCAUCUUACAGUUUAACGACAAUUCUUAUGCUUACUUCAUCGGAGUAUGUUUUGUAUGCAUGGCUCAUCAAAAUAGGUUUGACUCCACGUUUGCGUUCUCCAUUAGAGAUGAUCUAAUAAGAGCAUUCACUCUAACAUUUGCUCAUGUUUCGUUAGGGUACAUCCUACUUGGACGGUAAGAUGAUGAUAUCAAAUAAACCAAUCACGAGAUGUCACGUAGGUUAAAACAUAUGUUGACGUGUGAUAGGUUUGAAAUACUGUUAUCGAGCCAGGUUGCGCACUCCAUC